RNAcentral lists this ribosomal RNA (371 nucleotides) under uncultured eukaryote. Its description in RNAcentral is "SSU rRNA". It matches the Rfam family "Eukaryotic small subunit ribosomal RNA", at positions 567 to 939 of the family's 1831-position model. The record is from RNAcentral.
CCAGCAGCCGCGGUAAUUCCAGCUCCAAUAGCGUAUAUUAAAGUUGCUGCGGUUAAAAAGCUCGUAGUUGGAUAUGGGUCUCGGUCGGGUGGUGCCGCCUCACGGUGGUCACUGCCUCGAUCGGACAAUUCAUUGGAUCGUUCGGGGUGCUCUUAACCGAGUGUCCUGGGUGGCCGAUACGUUUACUUUGAACAAAUUAGAGUGCUUAAAGCAGGUGCACCGCGCCUGAAUAUCACAGCAUGGAAUGAUGGAAUAGGACCUCGGUCUUAUUAUGUUGGUUUUCUGGACUUGAGGUAAUGGUUAACAGAGACAGACGGGGGCAUUCGUACUGCGACGCUAGAGGUGAAAUUCUUGGACCGUCGCAAGACGAA